GACGAACGCUGGCGGCGUGCUUAACACAUGCAAGUCGAGCGGUAAGGCCCUUCGGGGUACACGAGCGGCGAACGGGUGAGUAACAUGUGGGUGACCUGCCUCUAGCUCUGGGAUAAGCCUGGGAAACUGGGUCUAAUACCGGAUAUGACCUCAUGACGCAUGUUGUGGGGUGGAAAGCCUUGUGCGGCUAGGGAUGGGCCCGCGGCCUAUCAGCUUGUUGGUGGGGUGAUGGCCUACCAAGGCGACGACGGGUAGCCGGCCUGAGAGGAUGAUCAGC
RNAcentral lists this ribosomal RNA (277 nucleotides) under uncultured bacterium. RNAcentral describes it as "partial 16S ribosomal RNA". It matches the Rfam family "Bacterial small subunit ribosomal RNA", at positions 28 to 308 of the family's 1533-position model. The record is from RNAcentral.